Molecule: ribosomal RNA, 402 nt
Filed under: uncultured bacterium
Lineage: Bacteria
Description: bacterial SSU rRNA
Rfam family: Bacterial small subunit ribosomal RNA
Source: RNAcentral
GACGAACGCUGGCGGCGUGCUUAACACAUGCAAGUCGAGCGGUAAGGCCCUUUCGGGGGUACACGAGCGGCGAACGGGUGAGUAACACGUGGGUGACCUGCCUUUAGCUCUGGGAUAAGCCUGGGAAACCGGGUCUAAUACCGGAUAUGACUCCGCGGCGCAUGUUGUGGGGUGGAAAGCCUUGUGCGGCUGGAGAUGGGCCCGCGGCCUAUCAGCUUGUUGGUGGGGUGAUGGCCUACCAAGGCGACGACGGGUAGCCGGCCUGAGAGGGCGACCGGCCACACUGGGACUGAGACACGGCCCAGGCUCCUACGGGAGGCAGCAGUGGGGAAUCUUGCGCAAUGGGCGAAAGCCUGACGCAGCGACGCCGCGUGAGGGAUGACGGCCUCGGUUGUAACGUAC